Small nuclear RNA from Phyllostomus discolor (pale spear-nosed bat), 107 nucleotides. The record is from RefSeq and is a predicted model, not a curated record. NCBI's taxonomy places the organism in Eukaryota, Metazoa, Chordata, Mammalia, Chiroptera, Phyllostomidae.
GGGCUCGCUUCGGCAGCACAUGUACUAAAAUUGAAACAAUACAAAGAAGAUGAGCAUGGCCCCUAUGCAAGGAUAACACACAAAUUCAUGAAGCAUUCCACAAAUGA